GAGGAUUAUAAAGGUAUUUGAAGUGGACUACUUAUCAUUAUCGCCCUUGGUUUGGUAAGUUGUUUGCCAUCAUGCAGAAUAUUCUACUGGGAUUAUUUUUCCUUGCGAUUGGCAUUCAUCAGUGCCAUUCACAAAGUGAGUAUGAACAUACAGUUUAUCACUUUCCUUCAUAGAAACAUAGGGUAUCUAUUAGAUGCCUAGACAUGAGAUGAUGUCUAGUUAAUGUAAUAUGUGUACUUAUUUCUUAAAAUACAUAUAAUCUCUGUUUGGCACCAUUUUUUGUCUAGCUAACAAAAACAUAAAUGACAAUAAUAAUAACAACCAAACACAAGUGGUUCAGAUUACAGCACUCGCUGCUACCUGUGUCCUCCAAGGACCAGUUUAGAGCAGAAAAAUCU
Spea bombifrons (plains spadefoot toad) is the source of this 398-nucleotide long non-coding RNA. RefSeq lists it as uncharacterized. The transcript has 3 exons. NCBI's taxonomy places the organism in Eukaryota, Metazoa, Chordata, Amphibia, Anura, Pelobatidae. The record is from RefSeq and is a predicted model, not a curated record.